RNAcentral lists this ribosomal RNA (376 nucleotides) under uncultured Enterobacter sp. RNAcentral describes it as "bacterial SSU rRNA". It matches the Rfam family "Bacterial small subunit ribosomal RNA", at positions 523 to 898 of the family's 1533-position model. The record is from RNAcentral. Lineage: Bacteria; Pseudomonadati; Pseudomonadota; Gammaproteobacteria; Enterobacterales; Enterobacteriaceae.
AUACGGAGGGUGCAAGCGUUAAUCGGAAUUACUGGGCGUAAAGCGCACGCAGGCGGUCUGUCAAGUCGGAUGUGAAAUCCCCGGGCUCAACCUGGGAACUGCAUUCGAAACUGGCAGGCUGGAGUCUUGUAGAGGGGGGUAGAAUUCCAGGUGUAGCGGUGAAAUGCGUAGAGAUCUGGAGGAAUACCGGUGGCGAAGGCGGCCCCCUGGACAAAGACUGACGCUCAGGUGCGAAAGCGUGGGGAGCAAACAGGAUUAGAUACCCUGGUAGUCCACGCCGUAAACGAUGUCGAUUUGGAGGUUGUGCCCUUGAGGUGUGGCUUCCGGAGCUAACGCGUUAAAUCGACCGCCUGGGGAGUACGGCCGCAAGGUUAAA